CCGAACGUAGUAACAUCCCGUUACGACGUCCGCCGGUAGGCGACANGAACCUCAACUCUUCGGGUUGACCUCGGAUCAGGUAGGGAUACCCGCUGAACUUAAGCAUAUCAAUAAGCGGAGGACAAGAANCAACAGGGAUUGCCUUNAGUAACGGCGAGUGAAGCGGCAACAGCUCAAAUUNGAAAUCUGGCCCCCCUGGGGUCCGAGUUGUAAUUUGUAGAAAGAUGCUUCGGGCGUGGCGCCGGUCUAAGUUCCUUGGAACAGGACGUCACAGAGGGUGAGAAUCCCGUACGUGACUACGCGCCCAUGCCCGUGUGAAGCUCUUUCGACGAGUCGAGUUGUUUGGGAAUGCAGCUCAAAAUGGGUGGUAAAUUUCAUCUAAAGCUAAAUAUAGGCCAGAGACCGAUAGCGCACAAGUAGAGUGAUCGAAAGAUGAAAAGCACUUUGGAAAGAGAGUUAAACAGCACGUGAAAUUGUUGAAAGGGAAGCGCUUGCAACCAGACUUGCGCGCGGCCGAUCAUCCGGGGUUCUCCCCGGUGCACUCGGUCGCGCUCAGGCCAGCAUCGGUUCGGGUGGUCGGAUAAAGGCCGCGGGAAUGUGGCUCCCCUCGGGGAGUGUUAUAGCCCGCGGCGCCAUGCGACCCACCGGGACCGAGGACCGCGCUUCGGCUAGGAUGCUGGCGUAAUGGUUGUAAGCGACC
RNAcentral lists this ribosomal RNA (700 nucleotides) under uncultured fungus. RNAcentral describes it as "eukaryotic LSU rRNA". It matches the Rfam family "Eukaryotic large subunit ribosomal RNA", at positions 1 to 649 of the family's 3401-position model. Lineage: Eukaryota; Fungi. The record is from RNAcentral.